Molecule: ribosomal RNA, 453 nt
Filed under: uncultured Porphyromonadaceae bacterium
Lineage: Bacteria; Pseudomonadati; Bacteroidota; Bacteroidia; Bacteroidales; Porphyromonadaceae
Description: bacterial SSU rRNA
Rfam family: Bacterial small subunit ribosomal RNA
Source: RNAcentral
ACGGAAGGCAGCAGUGAGGAAUAUUGGUCAAUGGGCGGAAGCCUGAACCAGCCAAGUCGCGUGAAGGAUGAAGGUAUUAUGUAUUGUAAACUUCUUUAGACGCAGAGAAAUAGGGAGGUCGAGACCUCUGAUGCUAGUAUGCGUAGAAUAAGGAUCGGCUAACUCCGUGCCAGCAGCCGCGGUAAUACGGAGGAUCCGAGCGUUAUCCGGAUUUAUUGGGUUUAAAGGGUGCGUAGGCGGGAUGUUAAGUCAGCGGUGAAAGCGUGUAACUCAACUAUACCAAGCCGUUGAAACUGGCGUUCUUGAGUGUAAACGAGGUAGGCGGAAUGUGACGUGUAGCGGUGAAAUGCUUGGAUAUGUCACAGAACCCCGAUUGCGAAGGCAGCUUACCAGCAUACAACUGACGCUGAGGCACGAAAGUGCGGGGAUCAAACAGGAUUAGAUACCCUGGUA